RNAcentral lists this ribosomal RNA (2905 nucleotides) under Enterobacter roggenkampii. Its description in RNAcentral is "23S ribosomal RNA". It matches the Rfam family "Bacterial large subunit ribosomal RNA". Lineage: Bacteria; Pseudomonadati; Pseudomonadota; Gammaproteobacteria; Enterobacterales; Enterobacteriaceae. The record is from RNAcentral.
GGUUAAGCGACUAAGCGUACACGGUGGAUGCCCUGGCAGUCAGAGGCGAUGAAGGACGUGCUAAUCUGCGAAAAGCGCCGGCGAGGUGAUAUGAACCUUUGACCCGGCGAUGUCCGAAUGGGGAAACCCAGUGUGUUCCGACACACUAUCGUUAACUGAAUACAUAGGUUAACGAGGCGAACCGGGGGAACUGAAACAUCUAAGUACCCCGAGGAAAAGAAAUCAACCGAGAUUCCCCCAGUAGCGGCGAGCGAACGGGGAGCAGCCCAGAGUCUGAAUCAGCUUGUGUGUUAGUGGAAGCGUCUGGAAAGUCGCACGGUACAGGGUGACAGUCCCGUACACGAAAAUGCACAGGUUGUGAACUCGAAGAGUAGGGCGGGACACGUGGUAUCCUGUCUGAAUAUGGGGGGACCAUCCUCCAAGGCUAAAUACUCCUGACUGACCGAUAGUGAACCAGUACCGUGAGGGAAAGGCGAAAAGAACCCCGGCGAGGGGAGUGAAAAAGAACCUGAAACCGUGUACGUACAAGCAGUGGGAGCACCUUCGUGGUGUGACUGCGUACCUUUUGUAUAAUGGGUCAGCGACUUAUAUUCUGUAGCAAGGUUAACCGUAUAGGGGAGCCGAAGGGAAACCGAGUCUUAACUGGGCGUUAAGUUGCAGGGUAUAGACCCGAAACCCGGUGAUCUAGCCAUGGGCAGGUUGAAGGUUGGGUAACACUAACUGGAGGACCGAACCGACUAAUGUUGAAAAAUUAGCGGAUGACUUGUGGCUGGGGGUGAAAGGCCAAUCAAACCGGGAGAUAGCUGGUUCUCCCCGAAAGCUAUUUAGGUAGCGCCUCGUGAACUCAUCUUCGGGGGUAGAGCACUGUUUCGGCUAGGGGGCCAUCCCGGCUUACCAACCCGAUGCAAACUACGAAUACCGAAGAAUGUUAUCACGGGAGACACACGGCGGGUGCUAACGUCCGUCGUGAAGAGGGAAACAACCCAGACCGCCAGCUAAGGUCCCAAAGUCAUGGUUAAGUGGGAAACGAUGUGGGAAGGCACAGACAGCCAGGAUGUUGGCUUAGAAGCAGCCAUCAUUUAAAGAAAGCGUAAUAGCUCACUGGUCGAGUCGGCCUGCGCGGAAGAUGUAACGGGGCUAAACCAUGCACCGAAGCUGCGGCAGCGACGCUUAUGCGUUGUUGGGUAGGGGAGCGUUCUGUAAGCCGUUGAAGGUGUGCUGUGAGGCAUGCUGGAGGUAUCAGAAGUGCGAAUGCUGACAUAAGUAACGAUAAAGCGGGUGAAAAGCCCGCUCGCCGGAAGACCAAGGGUUCCUGUCCAACGUUAAUCGGGGCAGGGUGAGUCGACCCCUAAGGCGAGGCCGAAAGGCGUAGUCGAUGGGAAACAGGUUAAUAUUCCUGUACUUGGUGUUACUGCGAAGGGGGGACGGAGAAGGCUAUGUUAGCCGGGCGACGGUUGUCCCGGUUUAAGCAUGUAGGCGGAGGUUCCAGGUAAAUCCGGUACCUUUUAACGCUGAGGUGUGAUGACGAGGCACUACGGUGCUGAAGUAACAAAUGCCCUGCUUCCAGGAAAAGCCUCUAAGCAUCAGGUAACAUCAAAUCGUACCCCAAACCGACACAGGUGGUCAGGUAGAGAAUACCAAGGCGCUUGAGAGAACUCGGGUGAAGGAACUAGGCAAAAUGGUGCCGUAACUUCGGGAGAAGGCACGCUGAUAUGUAGGUGAAGCCCCUGCGGGUGGAGCUGAAAUCAGUCGAAGAUACCAGCUGGCUGCAACUGUUUAUUAAAAACACAGCACUGUGCAAACACGAAAGUGGACGUAUACGGUGUGACGCCUGCCCGGUGCCGGAAGGUUAAUUGAUGGGGUUAGCGGUAACGCGAAGCUCUUGAUCGAAGCCCCGGUAAACGGCGGCCGUAACUAUAACGGUCCUAAGGUAGCGAAAUUCCUUGUCGGGUAAGUUCCGACCUGCACGAAUGGCGUAAUGAUGGCCAGGCUGUCUCCACCCGAGACUCAGUGAAAUUGAACUCGCUGUGAAGAUGCAGUGUACCCGCGGCAAGACGGAAAGACCCCGUGAACCUUUACUAUAGCUUGACACUGAACACUGGUCCUUGAUGUGUAGGAUAGGUGGGAGGCUUUGAAGCGUGGACGCCAGUCUGCGUGGAGCCGUCCUUGAAAUACCACCCUUUAAUGGCUGGUGUUCUAACGUAGACCCGUGAUCCGGGUUGCGGACAGUGUCUGGUGGGUAGUUUGACUGGGGCGGUCUCCUCCCAAAGAGUAACGGAGGAGCACGAAGGUUAGCUAAUCCUGGUCGGACAUCAGGAGGUUAGUGCAAUGGCAUAAGCUAGCUUGACUGCGAGAGUGACGGCUCGAGCAGGUGCGAAAGCAGGUCAUAGUGAUCCGGUGGUUCUGAAUGGAAGGGCCAUCGCUCAACGGAUAAAAGGUACUCCGGGGAUAACAGGCUGAUACCGCCCAAGAGUUCAUAUCGACGGCGGUGUUUGGCACCUCGAUGUCGGCUCAUCACAUCCUGGGGCUGAAGUAGGUCCCAAGGGUAUGGCUGUUCGCCAUUUAAAGUGGUACGCGAGCUGGGUUUAGAACGUCGUGAGACAGUUCGGUCCCUAUCUGCCGUGGGCGCUGGAGAAUUGAGGGGGGCUGCUCCUAGUACGAGAGGACCGGAGUGGACGCAUCACUGGUGUUCGGGUUGUCAUGCCAAUGGCACUGCCCGGUAGCUAAAUGCGGAAAAGAUAAGUGCUGAAAGCAUCUAAGCACGAAACUUGCCCCGAGAUGAGUUCUCCCUGAGACUUUAAGUCUCCUGAAGGAACGUUAAAGACGAUGACGUUGAUAGGUCGGGUGUGUAAGCGCAGCGAUGCGUUGAGCUAACCGAUACUAAUGAACCGUGAGGCUUAACCUU